GUGUAGCGCUGUACAUCGCAGUUCCUGUGCCCGUCCGCGCCCGCCUGGCGACUGCUCGCGCCGUUUUGUCAGCC
This 74-nucleotide small RNA is filed under the name Xanthomonas sp. NCPPB 1131. RNAcentral's name for it is "sX9 sRNA". It matches the Rfam family "Xanthomonas sRNA sX9". RNAcentral also lists the same sequence under 3 other names. Lineage: Bacteria; Pseudomonadati; Pseudomonadota; Gammaproteobacteria; Lysobacterales; Lysobacteraceae. The record is from RNAcentral.